RNAcentral lists this ribosomal RNA (457 nucleotides) under uncultured bacterium. RNAcentral's name for it is "bacterial SSU rRNA". It matches the Rfam family "Bacterial small subunit ribosomal RNA", at positions 340 to 786 of the family's 1533-position model. The record is from RNAcentral.
UACGGAAGGCAGCAGUGGGGAAUAUUGCACAAUGGGCGAAAGCCUGAUGCAGCUAUGCCGCGUGUAUGAAGAAGGCCUUAGGGUUGUAAAGUACUUUCAUCGGGGAGGAAAAAACAAAACUAAUAAUUUUAUUUCUUGACGUUACCCGAAAAAGAAGCACCGGCUAACUCCGUGCCAGCAGCCGCGGUAAUACGGAGGGUGCUAGCGUUAAUCAGAAUUACUGGGCGUAAAAGAGCACGUAGGUGGUUUUUUUAAGUCAGAUGUGAAAUCCCUGGGCUUAACCUAGGAACUGCAUUUUGAAACUGAAAUACUAGAGUAUCGUAGAGGGAGGUAGAAUUCUAGGUGUAGCGGUGAAAUGCGUAGAUAUCUGGAGGAAUACCUGUGGCGAAAGCGGCCUCCUAAACGAAUACUGACACUGAGGUGCGAAAGCGUGGGGAGCAAACAGGGAUUAGAUACC